UACGGAGGAUCCGAGCGUUAUCCGGAUCUAUUGGGUUUAAAGGGAGCGUAGGUGGAUUGUUAAGUCAGUUGUGAAAGUUUGCGGCUCAACCGUAAAAUUGCAGUUGAAACUGGCAGUCUUGAGUACAGUAGAGGUGGGCGGAAUUCGUGGUGUAGCGGUGAAAUGCUUAGAUAUCACGAAGAACUCCGAUUGCGAAGGCAGCUCACUGGACUGCAACUGACACUGAGGCUCGAAAGUGUGGGUAUCAAACAGG
Molecule: ribosomal RNA, 253 nt
Filed under: uncultured bacterium
Lineage: Bacteria
Description: partial 16S ribosomal RNA
Rfam family: Bacterial small subunit ribosomal RNA
Source: RNAcentral